GAUGAACGCUGGCGGCGUGCCUAAUACAUGCAAGUCGAGCGAACAGACGAGGAGCUUGCUCCUCUGACGUUAGCGGCGGACGGGUGAGUAACACGUGGAUAACCUACCUAUAAGACUGGGAUAACUUCGGGAAACCGGAGCUAAUACCGGAUAAUAUAUUGAACCGCAUGGUUCAAUAGUGAAAGACGGUUUUGCUGUCACUUAUAGAUGGAUCCGCGCCGCAUUAGCUAGUUGGUAAGGUAACGGCUUACCAAGGCAACGAUGCGUAGCCGACCUGAGAGGGUGAUCGGCCCCACUGGACCUGAGACACGGUCCAGCCUCCUACGGGAGGCAGCAUUAGGGAAUCUUCCGCAAGGGGCGAAAGCCUGACGGAGCAACGCCGCGUGAGUGAUGAAGUUCUUCGGAUCGUAAAACUCUGUUAUUAGGGAAGAACAAUGUGUAAGUAACUAUGCACGUCUUGACGGUACCUAAUCAGAAAGCCACGGCUAACUACGUG
This 496-nucleotide ribosomal RNA is filed under the name uncultured bacterium. Its description in RNAcentral is "partial 16S ribosomal RNA". It matches the Rfam family "Bacterial small subunit ribosomal RNA", at positions 28 to 507 of the family's 1533-position model. The record is from RNAcentral.